Molecule: long non-coding RNA, 1820 nt
Organism: Phalaenopsis equestris
Lineage: Eukaryota; Viridiplantae; Streptophyta; Magnoliopsida; Asparagales; Orchidaceae
Exons: 3
Source: RefSeq, a predicted model, not a curated record
UGUGAGAAAGAGGACUAAAAAACUUAUUGUGGUCUUGAGUUAUCAGAGUUUUGCCCCCAGAGAACAUCGCCUCUUCUGGCGUCUCGUCCGCCACCGCGCCCCUUCCUCCGUCUUUUCUUCUUUUCUUUCUCCGGGUCAAAAGCAAGCGCAAGUCGAUGACACAGAGGUGCGAAUAGGAGGACAACGAAGAAGACGAGCAUUGAUAGUGAAAAUCAAGAUUAUGAUGCCGAACCAGACUUACAUCCGCAUGGGUAGCAUCGGCAUCGGUGGUAGCUGCACCUCGAUAACGAACGGCGGAAGCGGGACACCGUCGCCGCCGGCUUUGCCGAGGAGGUCUACGAGGAUGCACCGGCGGGAGACGAAGGAUGGUAGCGGCGUUGGCACUCGGAGUUUACUGCCUGGCGCAGAGGAUGGCGUGGAUGCUGCUCUCUCAACUUCUCAAGAGGCAGGCGAUCUUCCUCUUUGCGCCGCUGAUAUACGUAUGCGGGAUGCUGCUCGAUAUGGGCACCGUCUCGCUUGAUAGUGUUCCUGCGAUCAUCUGCUGACCGCCCCCUGGUUUACCGGAGUCCGCGGCUCUAUUAACGACUCUGUGCGGACAUGGACGCGAAUAACUCCUUCGACCGGCUGGUAAGUGUAUGGAAACUUGCUAGCAGAGUUGAUGGUUGGAAACCCUAUAUAAACAUGAACACAAGCGGUUUGCCUGAAUCUAAUGGUUACAUAUAUGUCGAAGCAAAUGGUGGCUUGAGUCAUAAACGCACAUUGAUAUGCAAUGCAGUGGCGAUGGCUGGGCAUAUUCCACUUUGGGGUUGAAGUUUAUGGUGUGGAGUAUGCAUUUGGGGCGCACAAUUAUCCAACGAGCGGAGUGUUUGAGGUGGAGCCUAUGCUCAACCUUCAGAUUUAGGAAGUCUAUAUUCAUGGGCACAACUUGCCUCGAUCCAAUUCAGGUCAGGGAGUUUAUGGAACAUCAUUCUGCAAACUACAGUGGUGAUAAAUAUCAUUUAGCUGUUAAGAACUGCAACUAUUUCUGCAGGGACGUCUGUUACAAAUUGACUGGAAACUCUAUUCCAAAAUGGGUGAAUGGGAUUGCGAAGAUGGUGAAUGGAUAGAUUUUGACGCGGAUAUCAUCGGUCUGGUACGUGAUGACUUCCAAGCAAAGAGGGCCAUUAUUGAGGUCACAGCAAGCUAGUUGUAGGGAUUAAUGAGCAUGGAAAAUGCUUAUUUCCAGAAAAGUAUCCUGAAUCCAUGGGAGGAAAUGUUCACGUUGCUUGUUUGGUAGAUGGAACAAAAGAAGUGGAUUCCCAUGUUGAGACAUUUGAUAGUUCGGCGGAAAGCUCAAAUUCAGAAUGUGCCAAGGGUAAGCAAUAGCGAGACCACAAAAACUUAAAUUAGAGGACUUUAUGAGGCUUCACAAUUUGAUCUGUACACCAAAUCCCAUGACAGAAUGAAACUUUAUACGAUUCCUUCCACAAAGAUAUUCCAGGACAAAAGUCUUCGUUAUUGUUUUCUUCAUGACCUUUAGCCUGUUUUUUGGCCAAUUCUGCUCCUUUACUGGCUGUUGCUAUUCACAGCAACAAUGAAGAGACAAAUACUUCACAUGAUUAAGUACAGGGUCGGUGGAGAAUAUUGAGGACAAUCAUGCAGGUUUCAUAUAUCCAUCUAUGAAUUUUAAUUUUUUAUCUAAUGCAUUUUAGAUUCUUAAAUUUAUUGUGGAAAAUAGUUCAUUUCAAUUUCUGCAAAUUUAGAGUCUUAUUUUUCUUUAGAAUUGUCGUGUCUUGGAAAAUUCAUGGUCGUAAUGUGAUAUUUUAAUCUUCUAACUCCCC